CGGACCUCAGAUCAGGCAAGACCACCCGCUGAGUUUAAGCAUAUCACUAAGCGGAGGAAAAGAAACUAACAAGGAUUUCCUUAGUAACGGCGAGCGAAC
Molecule: ribosomal RNA, 99 nt
Filed under: Diplasiolejeunea involuta
Lineage: Eukaryota; Viridiplantae; Streptophyta; Jungermanniopsida; Porellales; Lejeuneaceae
Also listed under: 22 other names
Description: partial 26S ribosomal RNA
Rfam family: Eukaryotic large subunit ribosomal RNA
Source: RNAcentral